RNAcentral lists this ribosomal RNA (316 nucleotides) under uncultured Bacteroidales bacterium. RNAcentral describes it as "partial 16S ribosomal RNA". The record is from RNAcentral. Lineage: Bacteria; Pseudomonadati; Bacteroidota; Bacteroidia; Bacteroidales.
GGAGUCUGGUCCGUGUCUCAGUACCAGUGUGGGGGAUUAGCCUCUCAGCUCCCCUAGACAUCGUCGCCUUGGUGGGCCGUUGCCCCGCCAACUAGCUAAUGUCACGCAUGCCCAUCCUGUACCACCGAAGCUUUAGUCACAAGGUCAUGCGGCCUCGCGACACCAUGGGAUAUUAGUGGGAUUUUCACCCCGUUAUCCCCCUGUACAGGGCAGGUUGCAUACGCGUUACGCACCCGUGCGCCGGUCGUCGCCAAGGUAUUGCUACCUCGCGUUACCCCUCGACUUGCAUGUGUUAGGCCUGCCGCUAGCGUUCAUC